Molecule: ribosomal RNA, 459 nt
Filed under: uncultured bacterium
Lineage: Bacteria
Description: partial 16S ribosomal RNA
Rfam family: Bacterial small subunit ribosomal RNA
Source: RNAcentral
CCUACGGGGGGCAGCAGUGAGGAAUAUUGGUCAAUGGGCGGGAGCCUGAACCAGCCAAGCCGCGUGAGGGAAGAAGGUACAGCGUAUCGUAAACCUCUUUUAUCAGGGAACAAAGGCGGGCACUAGUCCCCGGAUGAGGGUACCUGAAGAAAAAGCAUCGGCUAACUCCGUGCCAGCAGCCGCGGUAAUACGGAGGAUGCGAGCGUUAUCCGGAUUUAUUGGGUUUAAAGGGUGCGCAGGGGGCUUGUUAAGUCAGCGGUAAAAGCCUGGGGCUCAACCCAGACGAGCCGUUGAAACUGGCGGGCUGGAGUUGGAGAGAGGUAGGCGGAAUGCGCGGUGUAGCGGUGAAAUGCUUAGAUAUCGCGCAGAACCCCGAUUGCGAAGGCAGCGUACCGGCCCCACACUGACGCUGAGGCACGAGAGUGUGGGUAUCGAACAGGAUUAGAUACCCUUGUAGUC